AUGAUUUUAUUUAGUGAUGAUUCCACUAUUUCGGAAGAGGUUCCAAUUGAUUAUGUGAACAAAGUUGCUAUCUAUGAUGAUUAUUAUGAUGACAUGUAUGCUAUGAAGAAUAAUGAUAACCAUGAAACUUGUCAUCUUGAUUUUAAUUUUCAAUUGGAUUGUGCCUCACAUGAUAGUUAUUUUGUUGAGUUUGCUCGCACUAUAAUCCAUGACAAUAAAUUUGCUUGUGUGGAGAGUAAUAAAAUUUCUAUCCUUAUGCAUCAUGAAAAUAAUUCUUUAUGUGAUAGCUAUAUUUUUGAAUUCAUUCAUGAUGCUACUGAAAAUUAUUAUGAGAGAGGAACAUAUGCUUUUACAUAUUGCAAUAAUAUCAAGUUUUCUCUCUACAUGUUGAAAAUCUUGAAGUUAUGCUUGCUUUACCUUCCUAGGCAAGUUGAUUCCUGUUCCCACAAGUUGUUUGAUCACAAAAUACCUAUGAAUAGGAAGUGGGUUAGACUUAAAUGUGCUAGUAAUAUUAUUCAUGAUGCUCUCUUUAUGUUUCAAUUCUUAUCUUUUAUGUGA
RNAcentral lists this ribosomal RNA (558 nucleotides) under Triticum aestivum (bread wheat). Its description in RNAcentral is "partial small subunit ribosomal RNA". The record is from RNAcentral. Lineage: Eukaryota; Viridiplantae; Streptophyta; Magnoliopsida; Poales; Poaceae.